UCAAUUGAAACUUUCAAUUUAAACUUAAAUGAAUAAUUGAAAUUCGACAGAAAAAUAAAGAUAAAAAUGAAUGUUAAAUGUCAAAUUAUACAAAUAUAACAGGCGGCACCGCGAAGUGCAUUCAUUGUGAAAAAACAAUUAAAACCAGCGGAAAUUAAUCGAAUUUGUCGUCCCACUUGCGCAAUAAGCAUAGCGAAAUUUUUGCAAAAUGCGCGCAAAAAAGGUAUGUAUUGAACUUGGAAAGAGUACUUACAAUAUUUGAACCCUUCAAGAGUGCUGAAGCCUUUAAAGAAAAUGGAAAUAAGACAAAGGAGAUUAAUGAAGCAAUUGUGUAUAUGAUCUGUAAGGACAACAUGCCAGUCCGCUGUGUAGAAAAAGAGGGCCUCAAUAGACUUCUCAAAAAGUGUGUGCCGCAUUUUAAAAUGCCUUGCAGAUCCACGGCAAGUAUAUGAAAAUGUAAUAUAUUUUGAUACCCUUCAUAAGUAUAUAUUCUUUUUUAGAUAACAACAACGAUUGAAGAGAAGUACUACCAGUGCGUUUGAGCUGUGUUGAAAAUGCUAAGCAAUGCAAAUGACGUUGCGUUUACCUGCGAUGCCGUAACCAUACCGAACUCGAGUCGCUCGUUCCUUACCAUCACGGCGCAUUUUAUUGAAAAGGAUU
Long non-coding RNA from Drosophila sulfurigaster albostrigata, 660 nucleotides. RefSeq lists it as uncharacterized. Lineage: Eukaryota; Metazoa; Arthropoda; Insecta; Diptera; Drosophilidae. The transcript has 3 exons. The record is from RefSeq and is a predicted model, not a curated record.